This 497-nucleotide ribosomal RNA is filed under the name uncultured bacterium. RNAcentral's name for it is "partial 16S ribosomal RNA". It matches the Rfam family "Bacterial small subunit ribosomal RNA", at positions 28 to 507 of the family's 1533-position model. The record is from RNAcentral.
GAUGAACGCUGGCGGCGUGCCUAAUACAUGCAAGUCGAGCGAACAGACGAGGAGCUUGCUCCUCUGACGUUAGCGGCGGACGGGUGAGUAACACGUGGAUAACCUACCUAUAAGACUGGGAUAACUUCGGGAAACCGGAGCUAAUACCGGAUAAUAUAUUGAACCGCAUGGUUCAAUAGUGAAAGACGGUUUUGCUGUCACUUAUAGAUGGAUCCGCGCCGCAUUAGCUAGUUGGUAAGGUAACGGCUUACCAAGGCAACGAUGCGUAGCCGACCUGAGAGGGGGAUCGGCCAAACUGGAACCGAGACACGGGUCAGACCCCCACGGGGGGGAGCAGUGGGGAAUUUUGGCCAAAGGGGGCAAGCCUGAACGGGCCAACCCGCGUGGGGGAAUAAGGGCUUCGGGUUGUAAAACCCUUUUUUUUGGGAAAAAAAAAAUGUGUAAAAAACCCUGCCGUUCUUACGGUACCCAAAUAAAAAACCCCGGCUAACCUCGUG